Molecule: small RNA, 575 nt
Filed under: Pongo abelii (Sumatran orangutan)
Lineage: Eukaryota; Metazoa; Chordata; Mammalia; Primates; Hominidae
Description: processed transcript
Source: RNAcentral
CUCUUCUUUUGCUUCUAGUUACCAUCCUCAAAGGAUUGACUAAAAGCAAGCAACUGGAUUGAACACCCUAAGAAGAAAGACUUACACUGCACCAGUUCAGUGAAGGUCGAGAAAGGGAUCACGAACUACAUCACAGAAGGCAUCAUCACCAAUCACCCAAAUCUCACUUUGAAUUACCACAUUAUCCUGGACUGCUACCUCACCAGAAGCCGUUUAUUACAAAGUCCUAUAAAUGUCUACACAAACGCUGUAGGCCUAAGCUUCCACCUUCACCUAAUAACCCCAACAAAUUCCCAAAUCCUCACCGGCCACCUAAACAUCCAGAAAAAGAUGGCGGUGUGGUCAACCCUACCUUAGUGGCUACAACCCAAAUUCCAUCUGCGACUUCCCCAUCAGCUUCCACCAAAAUUACUACCCUUCCAAAUUUGACUUUUCUUCCUCAGAAUGCCACCUCCAUAUCUUCAAGAGAAAAUCUUAACACAAGCUCUUCUGUAGCUACAUUAACACCAGUGAAUUCCCCACCUCCACAAGACACCACAGCUGCCCCACCCACACCUUCUGCAACUACACCAGCC